CUAGCAUAUCAAUAAGCGGAGGAAAAGAAACCAACAGGGAUUGCCCUAGUAACGGCGAGUGAAGCGGCAACAGCUCAAAUUUGAAAUCUGGCUCUUUCAGAGUCCGAGUUGUAAUUUGCAGAGGGCGCUUUGGCUUUGGCAGCGGUCCAAGUUCCUUGGAACAGGACGUCACAGAGGGUGAGAAUCCCGUACGUGGUCGCUAGCUAUUGCCGUGUAAAGCCCCUUCGACGAGUCGAGUUGUUUGGGAAUGCAGCUCUAAAUGGGAGGUAAAUUUCUUCUAAAGCUAAAUAUUGGCCAGAGACCGAUAGCGCACAAGUAGAGUGAUCGAAAGAUGAAAAGCACUUUGGAAAGAGAGUCAAACAGCACGUGAAAUUGUUGAAAGGGAAGCGCUUGCAGCCAGACUUGCUUGCAGUUGCUCAUCCGGGCUUUUGCCCGGUGCACUCUUCUGUAGGCAGGCCAGCAUCAGUUUGGGCGGUGGGAUAAAGGUCUCUGUCACGUACCUCUCUUCGGGGAGGCCUUAUAGGGGAGACGACAUACCACCAGCCUAGACUGAGGUCCGCGCAUCUGCUAGGAUGCUGGCGUAAUGGCUGUAAGCGGCCCGUCUUGAAACACGGACCAAGGAGUCUAACAUCUAUGCGAGUGUUUGGGUGUCAAGCCCGAGCGCGUAAUGAAAGUGAACGGAGGUGGGAACCCGCAAGGGUGCACCAUCGACCGAUCCUGAAGUUUACGGAAGGAUUUGAGUAAGAGCAUGGCUGUUGGGACCCGAAAGAUGGUGAACUAUGCUUGAAUAGGGUGAAGCCAGAGGAAACUCUGGUGGAGGCUCGCAGCGGUUCUGACGUGCAAAUCGAUCGUCAAAUUUGGGCAUAGGGGCGAAAGACUAAUCGAACUAUCUAGUAGCUGGUUCUGCA
This 908-nucleotide ribosomal RNA is filed under the name Curvularia homomorpha. RNAcentral describes it as "LSU rRNA". It matches the Rfam family "Eukaryotic large subunit ribosomal RNA", at positions 34 to 961 of the family's 3401-position model. Lineage: Eukaryota; Fungi; Ascomycota; Dothideomycetes; Pleosporales; Pleosporaceae. The record is from RNAcentral.